GAGCUGGGGCGGAGUGCUUCCGGUGGGUGGUGCCGGUUUCUUGUAAACAAGGGGUUAGGGGUUCAAGUCCCCUCGCCGGCUCUCCA
Molecule: transfer RNA, 86 nt
Filed under: Actinomadura kijaniata
Lineage: Bacteria; Bacillati; Actinomycetota; Actinomycetes; Streptosporangiales; Thermomonosporaceae
Description: tRNA-Tyr
Source: RNAcentral